Molecule: ribosomal RNA, 1287 nt
Filed under: metagenome
Description: bacterial SSU rRNA
Rfam family: Bacterial small subunit ribosomal RNA
Source: RNAcentral
UAGCUAGUUGGUGAGGUAAAGGCUUACCAAGGCGACGAUCUGCAGCGGGUCUGAGAGGAUGAUCCGCCACACUGGAACUGAGACACGGUCCAGACUCCUACGGGAGGCAGCAGUGGGGAAUUUUGGACAAUGGGGGCAACCCUGAUCCAGCCAUGCCGCGUGAGUGAAGAAGGCCUUCGGGUUGUAAAGCUCUUUCGGCCGGGAAGAAAUCGCAUGGGUCAAUACCCUGUGUGGAUGACGGUACCGGAAUAAGAAGCACCGGCUAACUACGUGCCAGCAGCCGCGGUAAUACGUAGGGUGCGAGCGUUAAUCGGAAUUACUGGGCGUAAAGCGUGCGCAGGCGGUUUUGUAAGACAGGCGUGAAAUCCCCGGGCUUAACCUGGGAACUGCGUUUGUGACUGCAAGGCUAGAGUACGGCAGAGGGGGGUGGAAUUCCACGUGUAGCAGUGAAAUGCGUAGAGAUGUGGAGGAACACCAAUGGCGAAGGCAGCCCCCUGGGUCGAUACUGACGCUCAUGCACGAAAGCGUGGGUAGCAAACAGGAUUAGAUACCCUGGUAGUCCACGCCCUAAACUAUGUCAACUAGGUGUUGGGUGGGUAAAACCAUUUAGUACCGUAGCUAACGCGUGAAGUUGACCGCCUGGGGAGUACGGCCGCAAGGUUAAAACUCAAAGGAAUUGACGGGGACCCGCACAAGCGGUGGAUGAUGUGGAUUAAUUCGAUGCAACGCGAAAAACCUUACCUACCCUUGACAUGCCAGGAACUUGCCAGAGAUGGCUUGGUGCCCGAAAGGGAGCCUGGACACAGGUGCUGCAUGGCUGUCGUCAGCUCGUGUCGUGAGAUGUUGGGUUAAGUCCCGCAACGAGCGCAACCCUUGUCGUUAAUUGCCAUCAUUUGGUUGGGCACUUUAACGAGACUGCCGGUGACAAACCGGAGGAAGGUGGGGAUGACGUCAAGUCCUCAUGGCCCUUAUGGGUAGGGCUUCACACGUCAUACAAUGGUCGGUACAAAGGGUUGCCAAGCCGCGAGGCGGAGCCAAUCCCAGAAAGCCGAUCGUAGUCCGGAUUGCAGGCUGCAACUCGCCUGCAUGAAGUCGGAAUCGCUAGUAAUCGUGGAUCAGCAUGUCACGGUGAAUACGUUCCCGGGUCUUGUACACACCGCCCGUCACACCAUGGGAGCGGGUUCCGCCAGAAGUAGGUAGCCUAACCGCAAGGGGGGCGCUUACCACGGCGGGGUUCGUGACUGGGGUGAAGUCGUAACAAGGUAGCCGUAGGGGAACCUGCGGCUG